UGGUAACAGUGUGCAAAGCUCUAGGGUGU
This 29-nucleotide non-coding RNA is filed under the name Homo sapiens (human). The record is from RNAcentral. Lineage: Eukaryota; Metazoa; Chordata; Mammalia; Primates; Hominidae.